This is a long non-coding RNA of Drosophila sulfurigaster albostrigata, 3194 nucleotides long. RefSeq lists it as uncharacterized. The transcript is spliced from 3 exons. The record is from RefSeq and is a predicted model, not a curated record. Lineage: Eukaryota; Metazoa; Arthropoda; Insecta; Diptera; Drosophilidae.
UGUUUUGACCUUACGCUUUUUGGUUAUUUUCCUUUCAGUUUGAUCAAGCUCUUCUACAAUUUGCGGAACAUCUUCAGCAUAUUCUUCUAAAAUAACGAUAGGAAGUGUUUCAUGAAUUUCCAUUAUAAUGUCAUCAACAUUAAGAGGUUCUUCAUGAACUUCCUCUUCCACGAAUUCCUUUGAAACAGGCUGAGAGUCGAUAGUGUUAAUUGUGAAUUCAUCGUACGAAGGAACAUCAUCUUGUUCAAUUAUGACCUCUUGUUCUUCCUUAGUUAAUGGCUUUGGUUUCUUAGACUUGGAUUUUUUAAUCGGUUCUUGCUGGCUAAUACCAAUUUCAAAAGCUUCACCUUCAUCAAGUGUGUCCUGAAGCGGCUUAGUCUUAAUCUUCUUGGGCUUCUUUGGCUUAGCGUCAAUUUCGGUUUUUUCAUAUUUUUCUAGUUCUGUUACUGGAAUUUCAGCAUUUAUCAGUUGUUGUAUAUAGGCAUCUAGGUCGUUCUUCUUCAUCUUUUUAGUUUUAAUUUUUGGCUUAUCGGUUGUGUCUUGACUAUCAAUUUUAUUUUCAGAUUCAGACGAUCUUAUUGUCACUUCAUAUAGUGGCUCCUCUCCGGGCAUUGAAACAGUUUCAACAAUCUCAACAAUUUCUUCAUCUUCUCCUCGUUUAUGCAGAAUUUUACGUUUUUUAGUUUUUUCUGCUGGUUUAUCAGUAGAAAUGUCUUCUGGUUGCAACUCAGUUAACUUAACCUCAUAGAAAUCGUGCAUAGUAUUUUCGUAGAAAUUUUGGUCAGGUUGUUCUUUCAGUUCUACUAUAAAUUCAUCCAAUUCGAGUUUAUUCAUGCGCUUCACUUUCUUUUUAAGAAUUUUCUUUUCCUUUGAAUCAGUUUCAUCAAUUUCUGAAGAAGUUACAGUUAUUUCAUAUAUUUUUUCAUCGGUAUCAUUUGGAGAAACGUCAACAAUUUCUACUAUGUUCUCUUCACGUUCUGUCUUAAGCUUUAAUUUACGUUUCUUCUUGGGUUCUGUUAUUGGAUUUUCUUCAGUUUGAUUGUCUUGCUCUUCCGAUUUUUCUUCAGGCUCUAAUUCUACCAACUCAUAUUUGAACGAUGGUUUCAAAUCUCCAAUUUCCUCGUCAUCCCUAUCCACAAACGGUAUCGAAUCAAGUGUUUCGUCGGUCUCCUUAGGUUUUCUCGCCUUCUUUUUCGGUUGUUUUUCUUCGAUUGGCUUCUCUGGCUUCUCUGUUAUAUCCUCGAUUUCUUUAUCCAACUUAACUGGUUUCAAUUCAACAGUUUCAAUGUCCUCAAUAUUUUGUGGAAUUUUUCCUUUACCAAUCUUUAGUUUGUUGGGUUCGUUAACUUCUUCGUCUUUGUUUUUCUUUGAACGUUUGUACUUUGAUUUCACUUGCUCUUCGCCUAUCGGUUUAUCCUCGUUGUCGAUGCUUUCUAUGUCAAAUGUUUCCAAAUCAGCUUUUUCGGGCUUGGUGUGCUUGAAUUUCUGAGGUCUUAGCUUUAAUAUUUCCUCAGCCUCUUCUAAAUUUCGAGAGAGCUGCCCAUUUUCUCGAUUGAUAUCCAGCUCAAUAACCGUAUACGGGAAACAAUAUGAUCGCCGUUUCUUCUCUUCCUGUGGUCGUUGCUUGGGUGUCUUCAAUUUCAACAUUUGCGGGAAUUCCGCCACUGAACUUAUUUGAAUCAUUUUCGGUUGUCUAACCUCAACCUUUUCAAUCUUCAUUGCAGUAAGCUUUAUUGGUUUAAUAGAAGAAUCACGACGAGCCCUUUGAGGAAGUUCCAUUUCUGUGCGAAGAUACGGUUGUAAAACCGUUUUAGGAAUCUCCUGAUGGAUAAGGAAUUGAAUAUAAUCAUCCAUUUCAUCCUUCUUUGACUUAAUGAUUUUCUUCUUUUUAGGUUUGUCUUUUUUCGAAAGUGGCCCUGGCUGGCUUUCAUCAACAGGACUUUGCUCAACCACAUCUUCACCUAAUUUAUCUUGAUCAACCUUAACCUUACGCUUCUUUUUAACUUUGUCUUUUGGCUCACUAGAUCCCCCUUCGAUUUCCCCAGUCUCGUCAAUCUGUUCGAAAUGAAUUGGUUGUGUCUUUUUCUGUUUUGGUUUUUUAUCUGUAGUCUGUGUAGGUAUGGUGUCUUCACUUACAUCAUCAGGUUCAGUGAUAGUGUACUCUUUGUUGUAUUGGUCUGUUUGAGAGAAAAUUAUGUGUUUGUGUGUUAGCACUAAACUAUUUUGUUAAAAUUAUAUUUGCAUUUUUUAUAAUGCUUUACAACACAUAAACUUUGGAUUUUGUAUAAAGUUUAGUGUUUAUAUACUUGCAUUUUCUGUUAAUCUAUAUUUAUAUCUAUAUUUGUAAUGUACGUAUUAGGCUCAUUUUUUUACAAAUACAUCCUGAGUACAUAUAACGUACACGUACUUAGGUAGAGUUUCAGAAAUAUUUGUUAGUACUAGUUAUAGUGCCAAAAUAUUUAAACAGAGUGUCUUGUAUUUAAGUAUUUAUGUUUUUGUUUUGUUUGAAUUUGUUUUGUGUUAAUGAAUUUGAAGCUAUUCGUGUAUCACUUUUAUUCAAAACAUAUAAGUCGCAAUCUCAAACCAAGUACAUAUUUAUGUAGUUGAGUUAAUUUAGAAACCUAUCUCGCAAAUACAUAUUUUUUAAAGGACUUGAUGUAAUCCAUCUCUAAUAUGUGUAAUUAAACCACAGUAUGCAUGUAUUUAUAUUUCAAUGUGCAAAAAAAAAGUAUUUUAAGAAAUUCACCUGUAGGCUCGCUGACUUCAGUAAUUUCAACGUUUGAUUGUGUAAUGUCAUCCACAUUGGGUUCUGUGUCACUGAGUACUUCCUCAACAACGAUGCCUUCCUCAUUUAAAUGUUGUAAUGUAAACUGGAUGUUCCGUUUCAGUGUGUUCUGGUUUCUCCGCUGUGUUCAUGUUUGUUGUGUAAUUUUCAUUGUUGUAAAAUGAUUGGAAAAAUUUGUUAAUAACAUUACAAAAAAAAAUAAUUGUUAUUAAGCUCUUUUUUUAAGCUCUAUAAAAAAUAGAUGUAAAAACUAAAAACAAUAUAGAGCGUCAAAAAUACAAAUUAUAAUGAAAUAACCCUAUUAAGAGUACAAUAUAAUAUUAAAUGGGUAUAGCGUAUACUUCAUUUUUUUUAGUUUUCGUGUAAGAUGUGGUGUAUGCAUGGUGUAGUGAAUUGUGUUCUUACCCCU